GAUGAACGCUAGCGGCAGGCUUAACACAUGCAAGUCGAGGGGCAGCACGGGUAGCAAUACCUGGUGGCGACCGGCGCACGGGUGAGUAACGCGUAUGCAACCUACCUUCAACUGGGGGAU
Molecule: ribosomal RNA, 120 nt
Filed under: uncultured bacterium
Lineage: Bacteria
Description: partial 16S ribosomal RNA
Rfam family: Bacterial small subunit ribosomal RNA
Source: RNAcentral